AAGAAUGUGUCUGUAUGUCUGUAACAACUUGACCUGUGGUAAAACCAAACCCAUUUAAACAAACCUCUUUGUUAUGAUAUGACCUUAAGGUCAUUAAAACUGACAGGUAUUUUUCUGUAUUAUCCAACUUUUCUCAGAAAAUUUUUCAUCAUAAGAUAAAAUAUGCUUUAGGACAAGAUAGAAGUUUCACUUUUCUAUCAAAGACCACUAUUACUAUAUCAGAUAUGGAUCAAACAAUUGAAGGUUGAGUGUAAGGUUACUAAAGUUAGUUAUAAUGCCAAUAUAAUGCAAGUGCUGUUCUUGUCCUCCCUCUCAGCAGCAUAAUAAGAUGAGAUACCAAAUGAUCCUAUUUGUAGUAGUAAAACAAGAUCAACUAUAUUUGAGGGUAAUCAGAGGCAAAAAUCAGUAAUUUGAAAAAUGCUCUUGAUGUAACCGCCAUAAAGUCUUAGUCCAUAGCUUAGAUACUAGGCUGUAAUUCUUUAUCUGUGGGGAAACUUCAGGACUAUAAGCAGUCCUUUCAAGUAACUCAUGAAGAUGUUGAUUUGGUUGAUCUGGCUGGCUAGGCAGAUGCCCCCUUCCUCCUUCACUGUUCCGUGUGGAUCCCUCCCGAAGCUACAUUGAAGAGGCUGACCAUCCAACCAUCCCUGAGGGAGGAGGACCGGUCUUCCGUCAAGGGUAAAUGAGUAGCUGUGCUCCCCGCUAGAACCUCCAAACAAGCUCUCAAGUAAUUCAUGGACAAAUGUUACUAUCUCAAAACAUAGCAUAUUUUUUAAAUCUGCAUUUAAAAAAAAAUUCAAAGCUGGGCACUGGUGGCUCACACCUGUAAUCCUAGCUACACAGUAGGCUGAGAUCUGAGGGUCUU
Perognathus longimembris pacificus (Pacific pocket mouse) is the source of this 862-nucleotide long non-coding RNA. RefSeq lists it as uncharacterized. The record is from RefSeq and is a predicted model, not a curated record. NCBI's taxonomy places the organism in Eukaryota, Metazoa, Chordata, Mammalia, Rodentia, Heteromyidae. The transcript is spliced from 3 exons.